This 1124-nucleotide long non-coding RNA is filed under the name Gallus gallus (chicken). RNAcentral describes it as "lncRNA (ENSGALG00010003610.1)". Lineage: Eukaryota; Metazoa; Chordata; Aves; Galliformes; Phasianidae. The record is from RNAcentral.
CUUGAUAAUAAUUUAAACAUUACAGAGUCAUAGGGGCUGGAAGGGACCUCAAGAGAUCGAGCCCAACCCCCCUUGCAACUACUCUACAAUAGGUGGCACAGGUAGGCGUCCAGCUGGGUCUUGAAUAUCUCCAUAGAAGGAGACUCCACCACCUCUCUGGGUAACCUCUUCCAGUGCUCUGUCACCAUUACCAUAAAGAAAAGUUUAAAAAGUUCAUAUGAAAUUGUAAAGUUGUAAAAAAGUUGCCAAGAAAUUGCAGUUGUUAAAGAUGAAGUCUGAUUCUCUGCUCAUCUUCCUAGCAUGAAAUGCCAACACUUACCAAUGACUUCUCAUUGUCACUGUAGUAGAGAACCUGUGGGUGUAUUUUGGUGCUGUAAACCCACUGGAUCAAACAAGGUGCCAGUGGGGACAAAGCAGCGAUACACACGGGAGCUGGAUGGAAACUUGCAGACAGUAUGGAUGUCAGUGGAAAAGGAGUAGGAGAAGAUGGUGUUGGUCCAAGGAAGAAGCAGAGGUUAAAAGCUCAGUUCCACAAUCCCUGGGGAAAUUCAGGAAGGAGUGGGAGGAUCCUACUGAAACCAGUCCAGGAGGUUGGCAAGGAUAACAAAUUUCAUCUGGAAAGAAAAAGGGAAUGUUUGAAUGGGGGAGGUAGCCUUGUUGUGCCAAGGAAAUGGAGAUUUUUCAGGUACACAACAACACAAGCAAAUUUAAAUCAGGCCCCUCUGUAUGGCAAGGAAGUCAUUUCCAUCUUUCAAUUCAGCAUCCUUUCACCAUCAGCACUGCUUUGGGUUCGUGUUGACAGCCGCCAUGCUUUGGGAUCGUGUUUGCAGCAAAGACUUUGUUGCUCCACUGCAGCAUUGACCUGUGGGCAGAUCUGUGCGUCCUGUCCUGCUGGGAAAUAACGAGGGCUGUGGCCAUUCUAAAAUCAGGUAGGAAAUUUGUUCCUCUUUCUUCGUCCUGUUGUGGCAUAGCUCUCUGAUGGUGCCCGGUCUGUUUGAAGUGCAAGGUCAGCUCAGCUGUUUGGAAAACAAAAUUGAAAUCUUAAAUAAAACCCGAAUGGAUUACCUGGUUCUACUUCACUUUGUUUCAGCGUCGUGUGCAGAAAUGAGUGGGGUACUUGAAGG